AAAAUCCGCCGACUUUCAAAAUCGUGAGGGUUCAAGUCCCUCUAUCCCC
This 49-nucleotide transfer RNA is filed under the name Sinningia bullata. Its description in RNAcentral is "partial tRNA-Leu". Lineage: Eukaryota; Viridiplantae; Streptophyta; Magnoliopsida; Lamiales; Gesneriaceae. The record is from RNAcentral.